RNAcentral lists this ribosomal RNA (266 nucleotides) under uncultured bacterium. RNAcentral describes it as "partial 16S ribosomal RNA". It matches the Rfam family "Bacterial small subunit ribosomal RNA", at positions 88 to 354 of the family's 1533-position model. The record is from RNAcentral.
CGACUGAGCGGCGACGGGUGAGUAACGCGUGGGUAACCUGCCUUACGACAGGGGGAUAACAGUUAGAAAUGACUGCUAAUACCGCAUAAGACCCCGGUACCGCAUGGUACAGAGGUAAAAACUGAGGUGGUGUAAGAUGGACCCGCGUCUGAUUAGGUAGUUGGUGAGGUAACGGCUCACCAAGCCGACGAUCAGUAGCCGGCCUGAGAGGGUGGACGGCCACAUUGGGACUGAGACACGGCCCAGACUCCUACGGAAGGCAGCAG